Molecule: non-coding RNA, 84 nt
Organism: Spinacia oleracea (spinach)
Lineage: Eukaryota; Viridiplantae; Streptophyta; Magnoliopsida; Caryophyllales; Amaranthaceae
Source: Rfam
UCCGGGUGAUGAUACAAAAUAGAUGACGAGUCCGAUCCAUUCUUAAAUAUCGUGACGACAAAACGAGGCAGUAAUCCGAUAGAA